This 603-nucleotide ribosomal RNA is filed under the name uncultured fungus. RNAcentral's name for it is "eukaryotic LSU rRNA". It matches the Rfam family "Eukaryotic large subunit ribosomal RNA", at positions 23 to 641 of the family's 3401-position model. Lineage: Eukaryota; Fungi. The record is from RNAcentral.
ACCCGCUGAACUUAAGCAUAUCAAUAAGCGGAGGAAAAGAAACCAACAGGGAUUGCCCUAGUAACGGCGAGUGAAGCGGCAACAGCUCAAAUUUGAAAUCUGGCUCUUUUAGAGUCCGAGUUGUAAUUUGCAGAGGGCGCUUUGGCUUUGGCAGCGGUCCAAGUUCCUUGGAACAGGACGUCACAGAGGGUGAGAAUCCCGUACGUGGUCGCUGGCUAUUGCCGUGUAAAGCCCCUUCGACGAGUCGAGUUGUUUGGGAAUGCAGCUCUAAAUGGGAGGUACAUUUCUUCUAAAGCUAAAUAUUGGCCAGAGACCGAUAGCGCACAAGUGGAGUGAUCGAAAGAUGAAAAGCACUUUGGAAAGAGAGUCAAACAGCACGUGAAAUUGUUGAAAGGGAAGCGCUUGCAGCCAGACUUGCUUACAGUUGCUCAUCCGGGCUUUUGCCCGGUGCACUCUUCUGUAGGCAGGCCAGCAUCAGUUUGGGCGGUAGGAUAAAGGUCUCUGUCACGUACCUCUCUUCGGGGAGGCCUUAUAGGGGAGACGACAUACUACCAGCCUGGACUGAGGUCCGCGCAUCUGCUAGGAUGCUGGCGUAAUGGCUGU